UGUGAAAGCGAGGGGACGCCGCCGCUCCCCCCCAAGACCACCCUUUCAACUCCCUCUGCUUGACACCAUGGAAGUGACUUAGUACUGAGGGAAAAGGGGGGAGAAAAAAACAGUUCAAAAAAACGAUAACGAAAACAACAGUCAACGAAAAAGCGAGACGGAGAAGAAGGAACGUUUUUUUUUUUUUUUUUUUUUUUUUUUUUUUGUAAGGAAAAGAGGAAAAAAUAUAUAUAAAAGGAAAGACGCGCCCCCCCCCCCUCACGUCCGAAAAAAAAAGUAGAGAAUAUAUAGACAUUAUUUUUUCAAAGUUUUUAUUUUAAAUUCUUUUUAGAAAAAAAAAAGAAUUUUCAUUUGUGUGCGUUGUUUGUUUGUUGCCAUUUGGAAACAAAGAGUGAAUUUAAAGAGAAAAUAAAUAUUUUACAAAAAAAAAAAAAAAAAAAUUGAGUGUGUUGUGUUGUUGUUUGCGUGCGUGCGUGCGUGCGUGCGUGCGUGCGAGCGAGCGCGUGCGAAGUCACUGUGUUCGAAAAAUCAUUGUGCUUUCGAACUCCCGGAACCGACCCCCCACAUUCAAAAAAAGAAAAGGAAGAAGGAAAAGAGAGAGAAAAAAUACGCCGGGAAUAUGGAAAGAGAAUUGAGAGACUAGGAAGAGAAAACAGGAGAUACAGAAAACAAGAAGAGUGUGAUAUACCGAGAAAAGAGAGGAGAGGAGAGAAUCGACAAUAAUCAUCUGUCUCUUUCGCCUUUCUCUCGUCCUCCUCGCUUCCUUUCUCCUCCAUCUUUAUCAUCACCUUCAUAAUCUCCCUCUCCGUAUUUCACAUCUUCCUCUUCCGUUCUUCUCCCCCGCCCCCUACGCUUAGAAAAAAAAAACCUUUAGUAUCUCAUUCAUUUUGCCCUUUUUCACCUGUUUUCUUCUCUCUCUGUCUGUUUGUCUGUUUGCCUCUCUCUCUCUCUCUCUCUCUCUCUCUCUCUCUCUCUCUCUCUCUCUCUCUCACUCCAUUCUUCCUCCCUCUCUCUCUUACUCUCUAUUCUGUCUUUCUCUCUCCCUCUCUCGCUCUCUCUCUCUUUCUCUCGUAUCUUCUCUCUUUCUCUCAUGUUUAUCACAUUUCGAGGAAUCUACGAAUUCAGCCACCAGCGGGACCAAGAAAGUGCGAUAGGAACAGGCGGGAGAGAUAGAAAAAUCGACCUUAUGGACUAAUACCCCCCCUCCCACCCAACCCCCUACCAGACGACUACAUUACCCCCUCCCCCCCAACCCCCUCUCUCCCCCUGGCGCGUAGUGCUUGUGAAAUAACUCGAUAAUAUUUAAGUGAAACUCAUUAUUAUCAUGUGUUUUCUUCUGUUCACUUCUACGUCUGGAAAACAAAGAAAAGAAGACUAAGAGAAAGGUGGAAAGAUAUAUGGAAUAAACGUGAAUACUGUGUCAUAUAUAUGUAAGGAGGCGAAAAAUAUAUAUACAUAUAUAUAUACACACACAGAGACGUUGAAAAACAACAACAACAGCAACAACAACAACAACAUUAACAACAAGACUUACAAUUAAAAAAAAAAGACUCAAAAUAAAGCCCAACAAACAACAAACAACAAACAACGGCUCCACGACCUCUCGUAUUUCAUUUGUUCGUUUGCUGUUUGUCUCCAACGACACUUAAUGACGAACAUAGUUUAUCCAUAUUACUCUGUUCGCAAAACAUACAGUGUGCUUAUCCGGUGAAGCUCAAAUUGCCGCCAACCAUCUACCUUUAAAGCUCAGGAGAUGCACCAUCUGCCCCAAUCACGACACCUGUACAAAAUACUGCAGUGGUGCAGCGUUCUGGUGUAACAAACCUCAAGAAGACUUAGUGAACAAGCCUCAGUCUCUCUCUCUCUCUCCUUUCUUUAUCCUGGAAAAAAAAAUACCGCACCGAGUUCCUUUUCCCUUCGCCGAGACCCCAGGUUACCCCUUGUCCUAAGGUUUUGCUCUUUCCGUUCACCGUUUUUCCCCUCUCCACUUCCCCUCGUCUCUCAGAAUUACGGAAGAGCAUCGUACUCCUGGCAGCCUCCUGUCCACCUCACCUGUACGACCAUCAUCGUACAGCUGGUGUCCUCCGCUCAUCAGUGAGCACCGUUUCAAGCAGGGAUUUUCGUCCUCCUAUCAAAUAAGUACCUUCUGCAGAUUAUCCUCUUUCCUUUCUCUUAGGAGAAAGUGUCGUGUAGUAAGCAUCCACUUCCUCUCUGAAGAAGGCAUCGACCAGCCGGCAUCUUCUUCAGGGCAGAGAAAGCAUCGUACAACGGGCAUCCUCCUACCUCUAGAGAAAGCAUCAUACAGCGGGCAUUCUCUCACCCUCCUCUAGAGAAAGCAUCGUACAACCGACAUCCUCUUCCUCCUAGAGAGAGGGAAAAAUACCUUUCCAAUUGACAAAGCAUCGCACAGAGGAUAUCCAUCCCCCUUCUGGACAAAGGCGUUGUGCAGCAGAAAACCUCUCGUAACCCUUUACUCGCACCCCUCCCCCCCACGCCCCCCCCUCAUCAACCAUCAACCCGAACAACCUCUUGAACAAAGCAUCGUACAGCGGGUAUCCUAUAUCCACUCCCCGGCUGGCGAUCAUCGUACAGCGGGCACCCUCGUCCCUCUGAACAAGUUGUCGAACGUUCUGACAUCGUUUCUCUCUCCCUCAACGUCUCCUCCUCCACGGAUUUACUUCGAGAAUGUACAAAUCUGAUCAACGACACCAGCCGAUGCGGUUUCUAGCUAGAAAGAAGAACAACUUCUCCUCGUGAGCGCCGCGAAAAACCAUCUUGAUGCUCAACUGAAGCACAAAUUUUAGUACUCAAAGUAGGUUAGAAUUGCAGCCGCCAUUUUCACUCUAUGUUUAUCCUGUACCUGAAUGGGAAAUAAAUGAAUAAAUGAAUAUUUAUAACAAAAUAUAAUAAUGCUAAUAAUAAACAAUCGGUGCUUGAAAUAACUUGAUUGAUAAGAUAAAAACAAAAACUAGAAGCAAGUGAAGGGAUAAAGAUUUUUUUUGGAAAGCUUGAAUAAAGAGAAAACGAAAGAAGGAAUAAGAAAAGAAAGAAGAAGAAGAAGAAAAUAAG
Penaeus indicus is the source of this 3069-nucleotide long non-coding RNA. RefSeq lists it as uncharacterized. The transcript has 2 exons. NCBI's taxonomy places the organism in Eukaryota, Metazoa, Arthropoda, Malacostraca, Decapoda, Penaeidae. The record is from RefSeq and is a predicted model, not a curated record.